AUACUUAGAUGGCACAGGAGACACCAUAAUCACAAAGGUGGUUUUCCAGGGCAAGGUUCAUUUAUUGCACUCUGAGUGCUGACCUCUGUGAUACCCCCAAAUGAGAGAAACUCAGCUGCAUAAUAUGUGGUAGUUAGGGAGUGUGUUCAUUCUCUCCUUUA
Molecule: small nuclear RNA, 161 nt
Organism: Nannospalax galili (Upper Galilee mountains blind mole rat)
Lineage: Eukaryota; Metazoa; Chordata; Mammalia; Rodentia; Spalacidae
Gene: U1
Rfam family: U1 spliceosomal RNA
About the family: U1 is a small nuclear RNA (snRNA) component of the spliceosome (involved in pre-mRNA splicing). Its 5' end forms complementary base pairs with the 5' splice junction, thus defining the 5' donor site of an intron.
Source: Ensembl